Molecule: transfer RNA, 69 nt
Filed under: Labracinus cyclophthalmus (fire-tail devil)
Lineage: Eukaryota; Metazoa; Chordata; Actinopteri; Pseudochromidae
Description: tRNA-His
Rfam family: tRNA
About the family: Transfer RNA (tRNA) molecules are approximately 80 nucleotides in length. Their secondary structure includes four short double-helical elements and three loops (D, anti-codon, and T loops). Further hydrogen bonds mediate the characteristic L-shaped molecular structure. tRNAs have two regions of fundamental functional importance: the anti-codon, which is responsible for specific mRNA codon recognition, and the 3' end, to which the tRNAs corresponding amino acid is attached (by aminoacyl-tRNA synthetases). tRNAs cope with the degeneracy of the genetic code in two manners: having more than one tRNA (with a specific anti-codon) for a particular amino acid; and 'wobble' base-pairing, i.e. permitting non-standard base-pairing at the 3rd anti-codon position.
Source: RNAcentral
GUAGGAAUAGUUUAAUCAAAACAUUAGAUUGUGAUUCUAAAGACAGAGGUUAGAGCCCCCUUUCCCACC